GAUGAACGCUGGCGGCGUGCCUAAUACAUGCAAGUAGAACGCUGAAGGAGGAGCUUGCUCUUCUGGAUGAGUUGCGAACGGGUGAGUAACGCGUAGGUAACCUGCCUGGUAACGGGGGAUAACUAUUGGAAACGAUAGCUAAUACCGCAUGACAACAGUUAUUGCAUGAUAACUGUUUAAAAGGGGCAACUGCUCCACUACCAGAUGGACCUGCGUUGUAUUAGCUAGUUGGUGAGGUAACGGCUCACCAAGGCGACGAUACAUAGCCGACCUGAGAGGGUGAUCGGCCACACUGGGACUGAGACACGGCCCAGACUCCUACGGGAGGCAGCAGUAGGGAAUCUUCGGCAAUGGACGGAAGUCUGACCGAGCAACGCCGCGUGAGUGAAGAAGGUUUUCGGAUCGUAAAGCUCUGUUGUAAGAGAAGAACGAGUGUGAGAGUGGAAAGUUCACACUGUGACGGUAUCUUACCAGAAAGGGGCGGCUAACUACGUG
RNAcentral lists this ribosomal RNA (495 nucleotides) under uncultured bacterium. RNAcentral describes it as "partial 16S ribosomal RNA". It matches the Rfam family "Bacterial small subunit ribosomal RNA", at positions 28 to 507 of the family's 1533-position model. The record is from RNAcentral.